GACGAACGCUGGCGGCGUGCUUAACACAUGCAAGUCGAACGGAAAGGCCCUGCUUUUGUGGGGUGCUCGAGUGGCGAAAGGGUGAGUAACACGUGAGUAACCUGCCCUUGACUUUGGGGUAACUUCAGGAAACUGGGGCUAAUACCGGAUAGGAGCUCCUGCUGCAUGGUGGGGGGUGGAACGUUUCGGCGGUUGGGGAUGGACUCGCGGCUUAUCAGCUUGUUGGUGGGGUAGUGGCUUACCAAGGCUUUGACGGGUAGCCGGCCUGAGAGGGUGACCGGCCACAUUGGGACUGAGAUACGGCCCAGACUCCUACGGGAGGCAGCAGUGGGGAAUCUUGCACAAUGGGCGGAAGCCUGAUGCAGCAACGCCGCGUGCGGGAUGACGUCCUUCGGGUUGUAAACCGCUUUCGCCUGUGACGAAGCGUGAGUGACGGUAAUGGGUAAAGAAGCACCGGCUAACUACGUG
Molecule: ribosomal RNA, 468 nt
Filed under: uncultured bacterium
Lineage: Bacteria
Description: partial 16S ribosomal RNA
Rfam family: Bacterial small subunit ribosomal RNA
Source: RNAcentral